RNAcentral lists this microRNA (22 nucleotides) under Malus domestica (apple). RNAcentral describes it as "mdm-miR319h". Its record names the gene mdm-miR319c-5p. The record is from miRBase by way of RNAcentral. Lineage: Eukaryota; Viridiplantae; Streptophyta; Magnoliopsida; Rosales; Rosaceae.
GAGCUCUUCUUCAGUCCAGUCC